UACGAAGGGGGCUAGCGUUGUUCGGAAUUACUGGGCGUAAAGCGCACGUAGGCGGAUAUUUAAGUCGGGGGUGAAAUCCCGGGGCUCAACCCCGGAACUGCCUUCGAUACUGGGUAUCUUGAGUUCGGAAGAGGUGAGUGGAAUUGCGAGUGUAGAGGUGAAAUUCGUAGAUAUUAGGAAGAACACCGGUGGCGAAGGCGGCCCACUGGCUCGAUACUGACGCUGAGGUGCGAAAGCGUGGGGAGCAAACAGG
This 253-nucleotide ribosomal RNA is filed under the name uncultured bacterium. RNAcentral's name for it is "partial 16S ribosomal RNA". It matches the Rfam family "Bacterial small subunit ribosomal RNA", at positions 524 to 776 of the family's 1533-position model. The record is from RNAcentral.